Molecule: long non-coding RNA, 723 nt
Organism: Brassica oleracea var. oleracea
Lineage: Eukaryota; Viridiplantae; Streptophyta; Magnoliopsida; Brassicales; Brassicaceae
Exons: 2
Source: RefSeq, a predicted model, not a curated record
UCAUAUUAUUUUGCUCUCUCUCUACUUGCUCUAACUUCUUCUCUCUACAAAGUUUCUUAAUCAAAGUUGAUUGUGUCGGUGGCUGGUGGCCCUGCCGCCGGUUACCAUCUUGUUCAUUUUGUUUUUUUUUUGGUUUGUAAAAUACUUUCGAUCUACGGAUUGAGCUUAUUUCGCUUUGGCGAUAUGUUUUUCGUUAGGUGAUUUUGGAUGUGCUAAGUUUUACCCAGAUCAGAGCUGAAUCUUCGAAAGAGGUUCAAUUAUGGGGCCUAAUUAGUUUCUUCGUUUCAUAGAGCAUGCUUGUAGUUUAAUCAGGUGUAAUCUCUUCACUUUCUGAAGAACUUUGGCUGUAGCAGUGAAGUCUCCUCAGCAAACGAGAAACAAGAUUUUGGAAUAUGUCACGAUGGUUCUAGAACAGAAUAAGCAGAGUCGAGGUCAAUAGACGUCUCGACAUAUGUUUUGUCUCUUAUCCAUCGCCACUUCCCAGAUUUAAAGCUUUGAUGAAAUUUGAAAAGCUGAUGAAUACGUCAAGUGACUUCCAUGUGAGGGUAGCAAGUGAUGAUACAAGAAAGCUUCGACGCCGGAGCGAUGAAGAUGAAGAUGACGACAACCGGUGGAUUCCGGUGAAAACUUGCGCAGAUGUGUUUACUUGACUUUUGACACGUGUAUAGUUGAUGUACUUAAAACUUCCUCAUCUUUUUACACGUGUAGUAAAUGUGUCUUGUA